GGGCGGCGGGGGCAGCAGGCCGGGCUCGGCGGCGGCGCAGGGCCGCCAGCGCCCCCGCGCCGCCCGCCAGCGCCGCGCACCCCACGCACGCGCCCACGAUCCACGCCGUGUUGUCCACCUCUGCGGCACACACGAGGUAUGUGGUGAAAGAUGAAGGUGUAGUAUGAAGCAAGUGGUGGCGUUGCCGACGACCGUCAACUCGUCACCUAUGCUACUGCCAACGUGUAGUGACCAGCCCGCGCUGCAGCCGCGCCCGAGGCCGCCGCGACAGCGAGCGCACUGCACACAACCACUCGCCCGCCCAUAUGUGAUACCACUGACUUUUAUCGACCUACACAUUAUAUUCACGCGAUAACUCCAAGGCAGUGCAUUAAUGCUAAUCAUGUGAAGAGGGAUGUCCCUUGCCGCAAAAAAUGCUGCAGACUGGAACAGGGAAUAACUCGGUGUUACUAGUACUAAGGCGGUACCGGGAGACUCAAAUUACUCGGGUAUAGCAAUUCUUCAAUGUUCAUUCGCGGUGACAAGUGACGCGACAUCAUGAUUGUUGCCUGAACUGUUAUUUUAAACAUCCCGUUAACUUUAGUUGACAAAUAAAAGUAUCUGUGAGUGUAUGUAGUCAUUAACUAUUAGCUAUGUAGUUGUUUUUCCUAUAGAAUAUGGCCUACUACGUUACCCGGGAUAGUCUGCACUAAUGGGCACAAUUAACAGCCCACCUUAAUAUUUCGUCACCCUGUUUGUUUAACUAUGGCUAAUGCACUGUUUUGUUUUUUUGUUAAGCAGGCACUAUAGCAAUAGAUGAAAAACUUAUACCUUUAUUUUGAUGCAUACUAUUUUGUCACCGAAGCAUUGUUGCCAUUGUGUUUCCGAAUAUACAAAUCUUGUUCCUUUUAGUGAGAGUGGGUCAAUACAUAUGUAGUUUAAAUUAAAUUUACAGUGACUGCAAGCUGUAUCUAACUCUGAAAAACGAUGCUGGGUACUGUCAAUUCACAACAUGAGAUUUAAAGGAGACUGGUUCAUAUACCCGGGGACCAGGCCAAGGCCGUAAUCGAUCAGUUCGGCCCGAUACGACCGCUUCCUGGUCAGACACAAGAAAUGUUUUGCGCACUUACUGUAGCCCGAACACGGCUUUUUGAUGUGAGAAAUGUCAGAUAGAGUGAACGCAACAUAAGAAGAAGACUGGCAGAAAAUAAGCUGAGAGCUGUUCGAGCACCGUAAAGCUAAACUUUUAUUUGCGAGAGAAUAUGCUAAUUGCACUAUGGGAGAAUGGAAGGACGUACCGCUUUAAAUAAGAACAGAAUAGUUGAAUAGUCUUGUAGGUCUAGGCGGACGUCAGUGAGUUUAUCAGCACCAAAACGAAAGAUCUUCCAUAACCACAACAGUGGAUUACGAGGGAGGGUCCAUAACGGUUUGGGGAGGUAUGUCUUACGAGGCUCGUACGGACCUUGUUGAGUUCGGUAGGAGCAGUGUGAACGCUCAAAGAUACAUCAACAUCAUGCCAUACCAUGAGCACCAUUUUUUGGAAACAACGUCCGAUUAAAGCAUUACAAUGCCCGUUGCCAUACAGCGAGAUCGGAGACUGAGUAGUAGAGGUCGAGAGACAAGUUUCGUCAUGGCUGGCACACAGACCUGAUCUUAACCCAAUGGAACACAUUUGGGCCAGCCUUAAUAGACGUCUCUGAGAAAGAGUCCCAGCCUCUAUGAUCUUAGGAGAGUUCAACACAGCUGGGGUAGACGAAUGGGACAAUAUCUUAAACUUAGAUUUUAAUUGAUUUUCUUAUUUUUAUUACUUUUGGAGUGUAUCGCGUUCAUUCGUGGACAUUUGCACUGUUCGCAGAAAUUAUUUUAAUGUCGUGCCGAGCGCGGCGUCAACCGCCGCUUAUUCUGAUACCAUGUGUGCGGAAGAACUCGUGGCGAACGAGGUCCUGGCGUUCCUGUAGUACCAGCUGGACGUCAUGGAUGAGGUCAGUGUGACCCAAAUAUGCACCUCGAAUUUCACCGAGGAGGAGAUACGCAGCGCAAAGAAGCUGUUGUACGAGUCGCUGCAAAUGGCAGACCGAAUGCCGACCCGGAGGCAAGAUGAAAAGGGAGAGAGGAGUCUCCAAGACACUAUAAGGCUGUUAAAGGAAACCGACACGGACGUUGGCACGUCGUCCGGGUCGUUCGUGGCAAAGGAUUUGCGGAAGCUGCUCCCGGUCACUUUCGAUCACGUCGACGUCACCAGACCACGUGGAGAGAAGAAAGAAGAAGCCAUCUAGCCGAAAUCAAUGCGGAACUGCGUUGACUGGUCCGAACAUGCUGCUGCGCCCAGCAAUACCGACGACGCAGCUGUAUGUUUCGCGUUUACAUCACUCCACGAAGGUCGAGGAGAUCGUGGAGUAUAUACGAGUCAAGACGAACUGGACCUUAAGAGUCGCGAAGGUGCCGUUUUCCGGCGAUUCCGCGGCGGGAGGCCACGCGACAACACGCAGUGCAACACGAGACCGCCUAUUCGUGUCAACAAAUAGACUUGACGAUUGUUUUUAAUUUGUAUGUAUUCGUUUAUAAUUAUUUUAAUGUUAAUUGUUAUUUGUGUAUUGUAUUUUCUAUGGGCCCUAGUUGCCUGAAUUAAAGGAAUAAAUAAAUAAAAUAAAAAUAUGUAUUAGUGUAUAAUUGUUGUAAUGUUAAUUUAUGUAGGUAUUGUAUAUUCUAUGGGCCCUAGUUGUCCGAAUUAAGGGAAUAAAUAAAUAAA
Long non-coding RNA from Helicoverpa armigera (cotton bollworm), 2728 nucleotides. RefSeq lists it as uncharacterized. Lineage: Eukaryota; Metazoa; Arthropoda; Insecta; Lepidoptera; Noctuidae. The record is from RefSeq and is a predicted model, not a curated record. The transcript has 2 exons.